AUGGUCGAUGCGUUCUUCGAUGGCCAGACUAUCCACGUCAAGCAGCGGCGCAAGAAGGGCUUUCCACUUACUCCUAUGCGGAAUGUUCAGCGCGUUUAUGCUGCAUGGAAGCAUUGGAAGCGAGAAAUUCUUCAUAGCCGACAUGCCGAGGCGCCCCUGCUCCUUGCCCCUCCGCCUCGGCGUCAACUGCAGGAUGACGAUUACGCGAUGGCUGCCUCUUCUUCUCUCUACGUCGACUGCCCUGUCGCCCACGCUGCGUCGCGUGCUUCUGCCUUUGGGGGGCCUCCUGCUGCGUCACUGGACAUGAGCAUGGUCAUGCAGACUAAGUGCAAGCCAGGAAGAUCGAGACUGGGUCUUGAUUCAGGAGAAAGGGGCUUUGUUGAUCAAUUGUGGGUCAUCAGUGUUUAUUUUAAUUGGCGUGCUCAAGUUCCCUGCCAGUUGAGCGUUAAUACCAAGGACGGGAAAUGCUUCAGGUCCAAGUCGCAAUGUCCGCAGGAAAUUUGA
This 504-nucleotide ribosomal RNA is filed under the name Triticum aestivum (bread wheat). Its description in RNAcentral is "partial small subunit ribosomal RNA". Lineage: Eukaryota; Viridiplantae; Streptophyta; Magnoliopsida; Poales; Poaceae. The record is from RNAcentral.